GACGAACGCUGGCGGCGUGCCUAACACAUGCAAGUCGAACGGAACUGUUUUGAAAGAUUUCUUCGGAAUGAAUUUGAUUUAGUUUAGUGGCGGACGGGUGAGUAACGCGUGAGUAACCUGCCUUCAAGAGGGGGAUAACAUUCUGAAAAGAAUGCUAAUACCGCAUGAUAUAUCGGAAUCACAUGGUUUUGAUAUCAAAGAUUUUAUCGCUUGAAGAUGGACUCGCGUCCGAUUAGUUAGUUGGUGAGGUAACGGCUCACCAAGACCGCGAUCGGUAGCCGGACUGAGAGGUUGAACGGCCACAUUGGGACUGAGACACGGCCCAGACUCCUACGGGAGGCAGCAGUGGGGGAUAUUGCGCAAUGGGGGCAACCCUGACGCAGCAACGCCGCGUGAAGGAUGAAGGUUUUCGGAUUGUAAACUUCUUUUAUUAAGGACGAAAAAUGACGG
Molecule: ribosomal RNA, 450 nt
Filed under: uncultured bacterium
Lineage: Bacteria
Description: bacterial SSU rRNA
Rfam family: Bacterial small subunit ribosomal RNA
Source: RNAcentral